This 500-nucleotide ribosomal RNA is filed under the name Bacillaceae bacterium GUFBSama06-16. Its description in RNAcentral is "bacterial SSU rRNA". It matches the Rfam family "Bacterial small subunit ribosomal RNA", at positions 55 to 537 of the family's 1533-position model. Lineage: Bacteria; Bacillati; Bacillota; Bacilli; Caryophanales; Bacillaceae. The record is from RNAcentral.
AUGUUUUCUUGCGGACCGAUGGUAGCUUGCUCCCUGUAUUCAGCGGCGGACGGGUGAGUGCUCGUGGGCAACCUGCCUGUCGACUGGGAUAACUCCGGGAAACCGGCCUUAAUACCGGAAAAUUCUUUCCCUCACAUGAGGGACCCCGUUUGAUGGUUUCGGCUAUCACUUACAGAUGGGCCCGCGGCGCAUUAGUUUUUUGGUGAGGUAACGGCUCACCAAGGUUGCGAUGCUCCCCCGACCUGAUAGGGUGAUCGGCCACACUGGGACUGAGACACGGCCCAUACUCCUACGGGAGGCAGCAGUAGGGAAUCUUCCGCAAUGGACGAAAGUCUGACGGAGCAACGCCGCGUGAGUGAUGAAGGUUUUCGGAUCGUAAAACUCUGUUGUUAGGGAAGAACACGUACCGGAGUAACUGCCGGUACCUUGACGCUACCUACUCCCAAUUCCUGGGCUAACUACUCGCCAGCACCAGCGGUAUGACGUAGGUGGCAAUUCGU